AGAAAAGAAAACGAGUCAAGUUUUCAAACGCAACAGGGGCUAAAAAAAGAAAAAUUGAGCCGGAAACUAUAGAUAUCAGUGACGAUGAUGACAAACAAACAACCACAAGGAAAGUGUCAUUAACCACACCUGAGUAAACAGUUCAAACCAGGGCAGCUGUGCUGGCAAGACCUAAUUUCAGUCCGAUACAUUGCUCAGAAAAAGAGAUAGAAAACUUUUUUUGGGAACUUGACGGCGGUGGCUACAUCACAGCACUUUUGGCAGCAUGUCCCGUCAAAAGUCCGGCAAAUUUUGGAAGAAAAGUUUCUAUGAAACAAUCCUUGGCUGCAUCGCAGCACGUAGUCAUGGCCGGGCGAUUCAGUUCAGCAGUGAUAAAGAGAAUAAACAAACUUUUCAAUCGCUGGUACUUCAAGAACGAGGCAGCAAAGAACACGGACCGUGAUGAUGUUUUGGAGCUUUUCGGAGUACCAAGUGAUUGGAGGUUUUCAGCCAAAGCACAUCAUGCAGCUUGUCAUAUCCUUUGCAGAUGGUAUCUAGGAACAUGGAUUACGACUGAAUUAAAUACCAAAGUAGAAAGAUUUUUAAAUGAG
This is a long non-coding RNA of Corticium candelabrum, 590 nucleotides long. RefSeq lists it as uncharacterized. The record is from RefSeq and is a predicted model, not a curated record. Lineage: Eukaryota; Metazoa; Porifera; Homoscleromorpha; Homosclerophorida; Plakinidae. The transcript is spliced from 4 exons.